RNAcentral lists this transfer RNA (69 nucleotides) under Ictidomys tridecemlineatus (thirteen-lined ground squirrel). RNAcentral describes it as "Spermophilus tridecemlineatus (thirteen-lined ground squirrel) tRNA". It matches the Rfam family "tRNA". From Rfam's summary of the family: Transfer RNA (tRNA) molecules are approximately 80 nucleotides in length. Their secondary structure includes four short double-helical elements and three loops (D, anti-codon, and T loops). The record is from Rfam by way of RNAcentral. Lineage: Eukaryota; Metazoa; Chordata; Mammalia; Rodentia; Sciuridae.
AGGGUUGUGGCUCAGUGAUAGAGCACUUGCCUAGCACGUAUGAGGCAAUAGGUUCGAUCCUCAGCACUA